This 375-nucleotide ribosomal RNA is filed under the name Bacillus sp. (in: firmicutes). RNAcentral's name for it is "bacterial SSU rRNA". It matches the Rfam family "Bacterial small subunit ribosomal RNA", at positions 966 to 1342 of the family's 1533-position model. The record is from RNAcentral. Lineage: Bacteria; Bacillati; Bacillota; Bacilli; Caryophanales; Bacillaceae.
GAACCUUACCAGGUCCUUGACAUCCUCUGACAACCCUAGAGAUAGGGCUUUCCCUUCGGGGACAGAGUGACAGGUGGUGCAUGGUUGUUGUCAGCUCGUGUCGUGAGAUGUUGGGUUAAGUCCCGCAACGAGCGCAACCCUUGAUCUUAGUUGCCAGCAUUCAGUUGGGCACUCUAAGGUGACUGCCGGUGACAAACCGGAGGAAGGUGGGGAUGACGUCAAAUCAUCAUGCCCCUUAUGACCUGGGCUACACACGUGCUACAAUGGACAGAACAAAGGGCUGCGAGACCGCAAGGUUUAGCCAAUCCCACAAAUCUGUUCUCAGUUAGGAUCGCAGUCUGCAACUCGACUGCGUGAAGCUGAAUCGCUAGUAAU